AUUGAACGCUGGCGGCAUGCUUUACACAUGCAAGUCGAACGGCAGCGCGGGCUUCGGCCUGGCGGCGAGUGGCGAACGGGUGAGUAAUAUAUCGGAACGUACCCAAGAGUGGGGGAUAACGUAGCGAAAGUUACGCUAAUACCGCAUACGAUCUAAGGAUGAAAGCAGGGGAUCGCAAGACCUUGUGCUCCUGGAGCGGCCGAUAUCUGAUUAGCUAGUUGGUGGGGUAAAGGCCCACCAAGGCAACGAUCAGUAGCUGGUCUGAGAGGACGACCAGCCACACUGGAACUGAGACACGGUCCAGACUCCUACGGGAGGCAGCAGUGGGGAAUUUUGGACAAUGGGGGGCAACCCUGAUCCAGCAAUGCCGCGUGAGUGAAGAAGGCCUCGGUUGU
RNAcentral lists this ribosomal RNA (395 nucleotides) under uncultured bacterium. RNAcentral describes it as "bacterial SSU rRNA". It matches the Rfam family "Bacterial small subunit ribosomal RNA", at positions 30 to 426 of the family's 1533-position model. The record is from RNAcentral.